AUCAAAAACACACACGCACCGACACAUGGUCCCGGGUGCCGUGACGGCUUGGCCGAGCGGUCGGAUCCAUGGGGUGUGUGGAGGCCUAAC
Molecule: small RNA, 90 nt
Filed under: Salinicola salarius
Lineage: Bacteria; Pseudomonadati; Pseudomonadota; Gammaproteobacteria; Oceanospirillales; Halomonadaceae
Description: t44 RNA
Rfam family: t44 RNA
About the family: This family consists of a number of bacterial RNA genes of between 135 and 170 bases in length. The t44 gene is found between the map and rpsB genes in all species in the full alignment apart from Shigella flexneri. The function of this RNA is unknown.
Source: RNAcentral